UGAACGCUGGCGGCGUGCUUAACACAUGCAAGUCGAGCGAGAAAAGAUGGAAUGAGUCUUCGGAUGAAUGAAGUUUUGGAAAGCGGCGGACGGGUGAGUAACGCGUGGGCAACCUGGCCUAUACAAAGGGAUAGCCACUGGAAACGGUGAUUAAUACCAUAUGAAAUCAUAGAGUCGCAUGACUUGAUGAUCAAAGAUUUAUCGGUAUAGGAUGGGCCCGCGUCUGAUUAGCUAGUUGGUAUGGUAACGGCAUACCAAGGCGACGAUCAGUAGCCGACCUGAGGGGGUGAACGGCCACACUGGAACUGAGACACGGUCCAGACUCCUACGGGAGGCAGCAGUGGGGAAUAUUGCACAAUGGGCGAAAGCCUGAUGCAGCAACGCCGCGUGAGCGAAGAAGGCUUUCGGGUCGUAAAGCUCUGUCCUAAGGGAAGAAAAAAAUGACGGUACCUUAGGAGGAAGCCCCGGCUAACUACGUGCCAGCAGCCGCGGUAAUACGUAGGGGGCAAGCGUUAUCCGGAAUCACUGGGCGUAAAGGGUGCGUAGGCGGCUAAUCAAGCCAGGAGUGAAAGGCUAUGGCUUAACCAUAGUAAGCUUUUGGAACUGAAUAGCUUGAGUGCAGGAGAGGAAAGUGGAAUUCCUAGUGUAGAGGUGAAAUUCGUAGAUAUUAGGAGGAACACCAGUGGCGAAGGCGACUUUCUGGGACUGUACUGACACUG
Molecule: ribosomal RNA, 719 nt
Filed under: uncultured bacterium
Lineage: Bacteria
Description: bacterial SSU rRNA
Rfam family: Bacterial small subunit ribosomal RNA
Source: RNAcentral